GACGAACGCUGGCGGCGUGCUUAACACAUGCAAGUCGAACGGAAAGGCCCUGCUUUUGUGGGGUGCUCGAGUGGCGAACGGGUGAGUAACACGUGAGUAACCUGCCCUUGACUUUGGGAUAACUUCAGGAAACUGGGGCUAAUACCGGAUAGGAGCUCCUGCUGCAUGGUGGGGGAUGGAAAGUUUCGGCGGUUGGGGAUGGACUCGCGGCUUAUCAGCUUGUUGGUGGGGUAGUGGCUUACCAAGGCUUUGACGGGUAGCCGGCCUGAGAGGGUGACCGGCCACAUUGGGACUGAGAUACGGCCCAGACUCCUACGGGAGGCAGCAGUGGGGAAUAUUGCACAAUGGGCGGAAGCCUGAUGCAGCAACGCCGCGUGCUGGAUGACUGCCUUCGGGUUGUAAACCGCUUUCGCCUGUGACGAAGCGUGAGUGACGGUAAUGGGUAAAGAAGCACCGGCUAACUACGUG
RNAcentral lists this ribosomal RNA (468 nucleotides) under uncultured bacterium. Its description in RNAcentral is "partial 16S ribosomal RNA". It matches the Rfam family "Bacterial small subunit ribosomal RNA", at positions 28 to 507 of the family's 1533-position model. The record is from RNAcentral.